GGAUGUGAGGGCGAUCUGGCUGCGACAUCUGUCACCUCAUUGAUCACCAGGGUUGACUCAGCUGAUCUGGCUGGCUAGGCGAGUGUCUACUUCCUCCCUCACUGCUCCCUGUACCCGCUCUGUCGAAGAGGACGGCCUUCCCCAAAUGGAGAUGGACCCAUCUUCGGUUGAGGGUAUCUGAGUGGCUGUUCUCCCCAGCUAGAACCUCCAAACAAGCUCUCAAGGGCCAUGAGAUAGCUCAUGCAGUAGUGUACACUUUGUAUGAGGAACUGAGUUCAAGCCCACAGUCACCCUAUA
Molecule: unclassified non-coding RNA, 297 nt
Organism: Erinaceus europaeus (western European hedgehog)
Lineage: Eukaryota; Metazoa; Chordata; Mammalia; Eulipotyphla; Erinaceidae
Gene: 7SK
Rfam family: 7SK RNA
About the family: 7SK was discovered as an abundant small nuclear RNA in the mid-70s but a possible function has only recently been suggested.
Source: Ensembl